GUUAGCGUAUCUUAAACUAAAGCAUGUCACCGAAGAUGUUAAGAUAAAUUCCGAUAGUAUUCCGCAGGCA
This 70-nucleotide transfer RNA is filed under the name Noturus lachneri (Ouachita madtom). RNAcentral describes it as "tRNA-Phe". Lineage: Eukaryota; Metazoa; Chordata; Actinopteri; Siluriformes; Ictaluridae. The record is from RNAcentral.